Molecule: ribosomal RNA, 406 nt
Filed under: uncultured bacterium
Lineage: Bacteria
Description: partial 16S ribosomal RNA
Rfam family: Bacterial small subunit ribosomal RNA
Source: RNAcentral
AUUGAACGCUGGCGGCAGGCCUAACACAUGCAAGUCGAGCGAGCGGCGGACGGGUGAGUAAUGUCUGGGAAACUGCCUGAUGGAGGGGGAUAACUCCUGGAAACGGUAGCUCAUACCGCAUACCAUCAAAUGUGCCCAGAUGGGAUUAGCUAGUAGGUGGGGGAACGGCGCCCCUAGGCGACGAUCCCUAGCUGGUCUGAGAGGAUGACCAGCCACACUGGAACUGAGACACGGUCCAGACUCCUACGGGAGGCAGCAGUGGGGAAUAUUGCACAAUGGGCGCAAGCAUGAUGCAGCCAUGCCGCGUGUGUGAAGAAGGCCUUCGGGUUGUAAAGCACUUUCAGCGGGGAGGCGUUACCCGCAGAAGAAGCACCGGCUAACUCCGUGCCAGCAGCCGCGGUAAUUC